CGCGUAGGUUGGUUUGUUAAGUUGGAUGUGAAAUCCCCGGGCUCAACCUGGGAACUGCAUUCAAAACUGACUGACUAGAGUAUGGUAGAGGGUGGUGGAAUUUCCUGUGUAGCGGUGAAAUGCGUAGAUAUAGGAAGGAACACCAGCGGCGAAGGCGACCACCUGGACUGAUACUGACACUGAGGUGCGAAAGCGUGGGGAGCAAACA
This 208-nucleotide ribosomal RNA is filed under the name uncultured bacterium. Its description in RNAcentral is "partial 16S ribosomal RNA". It matches the Rfam family "Bacterial small subunit ribosomal RNA", at positions 568 to 774 of the family's 1533-position model. The record is from RNAcentral.